CAGCAGCCGCGGUAAUACGUAGGGUGCGAGCGUUAAUCGGAAUUACUGGGCGUAAAGCGUGCGCAGGCGGAUGUGUAAGACAGGUGUGAAAUCCCCGGGCUUAACCUGGGAACUGCGCUUGUGACUGCACAGCUAGAGUAUGGCAGAGGGGGGUGGAAUUCCACGUGUAGCAGUGAAAUGCGUAGAGAUGUGGAGGAACACCGAUGGCGAAGGCAGCCCCCUGGGCCAAUACUGACGCUCACGCACGAAAGCGUGGGGAGCAAACAGGAUUAGAUACCCCUGUAGUCCCUGUCUCUUAUAC
RNAcentral lists this ribosomal RNA (301 nucleotides) under uncultured bacterium. RNAcentral describes it as "partial 16S ribosomal RNA". It matches the Rfam family "Bacterial small subunit ribosomal RNA", at positions 509 to 807 of the family's 1533-position model. The record is from RNAcentral.